UACAGAGGUCGCAAGCGUUGUUCGGAUUCAUUGGGCGUAAAGGGCGCGUAGGCGGCGGGGUAAGUCGGGUGUGAAAUCUCAGAGCUCAACUCUGAAAUGGCACUUGAUACUGCUCUGCUAGAGGACUGGAGAGGAGACUGGAAUUUACGGUGUAGCGGUGAAAUGCGUAGAUAUCGUAAGGAAGACCAGUGGCGAAGGCGGGUCUCUGGACAGUUCCUGACGCUGAGGCACGAAGGUCAGGGGAGCAAACGGG
This 253-nucleotide ribosomal RNA is filed under the name uncultured bacterium. RNAcentral's name for it is "partial 16S ribosomal RNA". It matches the Rfam family "Bacterial small subunit ribosomal RNA", at positions 524 to 776 of the family's 1533-position model. The record is from RNAcentral.